GAUGAACGCUGGCGGCGUGCUUAACACAUGCCAGUCGAACGGAAAGGCUCCUGCUUGCAGGGGUACUCGAGUGGCGAAAGGGUGAGUAACACGUGGGUGAUCUGCCCUGCACUUCGGGAUAAGCCUGGGAAACUGGGUCUAAUACCGGAUAGGACGAUGGUUUGGAUGCCAUUGUGGAAAGUUUUUCGGUGUGGGAUGAGCUCGCGGCCUAUCAGCUUGUUGGUGGGGUAAUGGCCUACCAAGGCGUCGACGGGUAGCCGGCCUGAGGGGGUGUACGGCCACAUUGGGACUGAGAUACGGCCCAGACUCCUACGGGAGGCAGCAGUGGGGAAUAUUGCACAAUGGGCGCAAGCCUGAUGCAGCGACGCCGCGUGGGGGAUGACGGCCUUCGGGUUGUAAACUCCUUUCGCUAGGGACGAAGCGCAAGUGACGGUACCUGGAGAAGAAGCACCGGCUAACUACGUG
Molecule: ribosomal RNA, 465 nt
Filed under: uncultured bacterium
Lineage: Bacteria
Description: partial 16S ribosomal RNA
Rfam family: Bacterial small subunit ribosomal RNA
Source: RNAcentral